GAAGCUUGGUGCUUGCACUGGGUGGAUUAGUGGCGAACGGGUGAGUAACACGUGAGUAACCUGCCCUUUACUUCGGGAUAAGCUUGGGAAACUGGGUCUAAUACCGGAUAUUCUGCAUGGUCGGAUGGUUGUGUAGGAAAGAUUUUUUGGUAAGGGAUGGGCUCGCGGCCUAUCAGUUUGUUGGUGGGGUGAUGGCCUACCAAGACGACGACGGGUAGCCGGCCUGAGAGGGCGACCGGCCACACUGGGACUGAGACACGGCCCAGACUCCUACGGGAGGCAGCAGUGGGGAAUAUUGCACAAUGGGGGAAACCCUGAUGCAGCGACGCCGCGUGGGGGAUGACGGCCUUCGGGUUGUAAACCUCUUUCAGUAGGGAAGAAGCGAAAGUGACGGUACCUGCAGAAGAAGUACCGGCUAACUACGUGCCAGCAGCCGCGGUAAUACGUAGGGUACUAGCGUUGUCCGGAAUUAUUGGGCGUAAAGAGCUCGUAGGUGGUUUGUCGCGUCUGCUGUGGAAACGUGCCGCUUAACGGUGCGCGUGCAGUGGGUACGGGCGGACUAGAGUGCAGUAGGGGAGUCUGGAAUUCCUGGUGUAGCGGUGAAAUGCGCAGAUAUCAGGAGGAACACCGGUGGCGAAGGCGGGACUCUGGGCUGUUACUGACGCUGAGGAGCGAAAGCAUGGGGAGCGAACAGGAUUAGAUACCCUGGUAGUCCAUGCCGUAAACGUUGGGCACUAGGUGUGGGGUCCAUUCCACGGAUUCUGCGCCGUAGCUAACGCAUUAAGUGCCCCGCCUGGGGAGUACGGCCGCAAGGCUAAAACUCAAAGGAAUUGACGGGGGCCCGCACAAGCGGCGGAGCAUGCGGAUUAAUUCGAUGCAACGCGAAGAACCUUACCAAGGCUUGACAUGCACUAGACGAUUGCAGAGAUGUGGUUUUCUUUUUGCACUGGUGUACAGGGUGGUGCAUGGUUGUCGUCAGCUCGUGUCGUGAGAUGUUGGGUUAAGUCCCGCAACGAGCGCAACCCUCGUUCUAUGUUGCCAGCACGUUAUGGUGGGGACUCAGUGGAGACCGCCGGGGUCAACUCGGAGGAAGGUGGGGAUGACGUCAAGUCAUCAUGCCCCUUAUGUCCAGGGCUUCACGCAUGCUACAAUGGCUGGUACAGAGAGUGGCGAGCCUGUGAGGGUGAGCGAAUCUCGGAAAGC
RNAcentral lists this ribosomal RNA (1203 nucleotides) under uncultured bacterium. Its description in RNAcentral is "bacterial SSU rRNA". It matches the Rfam family "Bacterial small subunit ribosomal RNA", at positions 68 to 1282 of the family's 1533-position model. The record is from RNAcentral.